This 76-nucleotide microRNA precursor is filed under the name Erinaceus europaeus (western European hedgehog). RNAcentral's name for it is "miRNA (ENSEEUG00000019580.1)". Lineage: Eukaryota; Metazoa; Chordata; Mammalia; Eulipotyphla; Erinaceidae. The record is from RNAcentral.
UGUGUGUGUGUGUGUGUGUGUGUGUGUGUGUGUGUGUGUGUGUGCCGUGCGCGCACGCGCAUGCGCACGCGCACGC